This 439-nucleotide ribosomal RNA is filed under the name uncultured bacterium. RNAcentral's name for it is "partial 16S ribosomal RNA". It matches the Rfam family "Bacterial small subunit ribosomal RNA", at positions 338 to 795 of the family's 1533-position model. The record is from RNAcentral.
CCUACGGGGAGCAGCAGUGGGGGAUAUUGCACAAUGGGGGGAACCCUGAUGCAGCGACGCCGCGUGGGUGAAGAAGCGCCUCGGCGCGUAAACCACUGUCCCCAGGGACGAAAAUGACGGUACCUGGGGAGGAAGCUCCGGCUAACUACGUGCCAGCAGCCGCGGUAAUACGUAGGGAGCGAGCGUUGUCCGGAAUUACUGGGUGUAAAGGGAGCGUAGGCGGGGAUGCAAGUUGGGUGGAAAAACUACGGGCUAAACUGGUAGUCGCACUCAAAACUGCAGCUCUUGAGUGCAGUAGAGGCAGGCGGAAUUCCUAGUGUAGCGGUGAAAUGCGUAGAUAUUAGGAGGAACACCAGUGGCGAAGGCGGCCUGCUGGGCUUUUACUGACGCUGAGGCUCGAAAGUGUGGGGAGCAAACAGGAUUAGAUACCCGGGUAGUC